AGUGAACGCUGGCGGUAGGCCUAACACAUGCAAGUCGAACGGCAGCACAGUAAGAGCUUGCUCUUACGGGUGGCGAGUGGCGGACGGGUGAGGAAUACAUCGGAAUCUACUUUUUCGUGGGGGAUAACGUAGGGAAACUUACGCUAAUACCGCAUACGACCUACGGGUGAAAGCAGGGGAUCUUCGGACCUUGCGCGAUUGAAUGAGCCGAUGUCGGAUUAGCUAGUUGGCGGGGUAAAGGCCCACCAAGGCGACGAUCCGUAGAUGGUCUGAGAGGAUGAUUAGCCACACUGGAACUGAGACACGGUCCCGACUCCUACGGGAGGCAGCAGUGGGGAAUAAUGGACAAUGGGGGCAAGCCUGAUCCAGCCAUGCCGCGUGGGUGAAGAAGGCCUUCGGGUUGGAAAGCCCUUUUGUUGGGAAAGAAAAGCAGCAGGUUAAUACCCCGCUGUUCUGACGGUACCCAAAGAAUAAGCACCGGCUAACUUCGUG
RNAcentral lists this ribosomal RNA (492 nucleotides) under uncultured bacterium. Its description in RNAcentral is "partial 16S ribosomal RNA". It matches the Rfam family "Bacterial small subunit ribosomal RNA", at positions 29 to 507 of the family's 1533-position model. The record is from RNAcentral.